Molecule: ribosomal RNA, 253 nt
Filed under: uncultured bacterium
Lineage: Bacteria
Description: partial 16S ribosomal RNA
Rfam family: Bacterial small subunit ribosomal RNA
Source: RNAcentral
UACGGAGGGUGCGAGCGUUGUCCGGAAUCACUGGGCGUAAAGCGCACGUAGGCGGAUCUUUAAGUCAGGGGUGAAAUCCCGAGGCUCAACCUCGGAACUGCCUUUGAUACUGGGGAUCUCGAGUCCGGGAGAGGUGAGUGGAACUGCGAGUGUAGAGGUGAAAUUCGUAGAUAUUCGCAAGAACACCAGUGGCGAAGGCGGCUCACUGGCCCGGAACUGACGCUGAGGUGCGAAAGCGUGGGGAGCAAACAGG